RNAcentral lists this ribosomal RNA (750 nucleotides) under Trematoda environmental sample. RNAcentral's name for it is "SSU rRNA". It matches the Rfam family "Eukaryotic small subunit ribosomal RNA", at positions 122 to 764 of the family's 1831-position model. The record is from RNAcentral. Lineage: Eukaryota; Metazoa; Platyhelminthes; Trematoda.
GGAUCGUACAUACUACAUGGAUAACUGUAGUAAUUCUAGAGCUAAUACAUGCCACUAAGCCCUGACCCGCAAGGGGACGGGUGGAUUUAUUAGAACAGAACCAACCGGUUGUGGCUUCGGUCAUGGCCGUUGUACUCUGUGAUGACUCUGGAUAACUUUACUGAUCGCAGUCGGCCUUGUGUCGGCGACGGAUCUUUCAAAUGUCUGCCCUAUCAAUUGUCGAUGGUAGGUGACCUGCCUACCAUGGUGAUAACGGGUAACGGGGAAUCAGGGUUCGAUUCCGGAGAGGGAGCCUGAGAAACGGCUACCACUUCUAAGGAAGGCAGCAGGCACGCAAAUUACCCAAUCCCGGCACGGGGAGGUAGUGACGAUAAAUACGGAUACGGGACUCAAAAGAGGCUCCGUAAUUCGAAUGAGUACAAUUUAAAUCCUUUAACGAGGACCAACUGGAGGGCAAGUCUGGUGCCAGCAGCCGCGGUAACUCCAGCUCCAGAAGCGUAUAUUAAAGUUGUUGCAGUUAAAAAGCUCGUAGUUGGAUCUGGGUCGCAUGGCUACGCGCCGUUGCUUGUGAUCUCGGUUUGGUUACGACCGGAUUGAGUUCAUGAGUCGGUGUAGUGGUUGUGCAGCCUUUCUGCCGUGUCUGUUUUACAGGUGCUGGCGGAUUGUUGGGUUCGCCCUUCAGUCUGUCGGCAUGCUUCCGAAUGCCUUUAAACGGGUGUUGGGGGCGGACGGCACGUUUACUUUGAACAA